Molecule: long non-coding RNA, 2507 nt
Filed under: Citrus x clementina
Lineage: Eukaryota; Viridiplantae; Streptophyta; Magnoliopsida; Sapindales; Rutaceae
Description: Citrus clementina (C. clementina) long non-coding RNA (CCLE_LNC006283)
Source: RNAcentral
GGGCCAAACGGCCCCGAUCUUACCCAUUUUUCGGCGAUCAAACCGCCGCACGGCUACCCCCCCAUCCCGAUGCCCCCGGACCGCUGGUCCCGUGGGACCAAACGGAAACGGAAUCGGAGGCCCGGAUCAUGAGUUACGGCCGAAACCGGCAAAGCCUACUAAGCGGCCCCCGAUCUUGCCCAUUUUUCGCCCUUCAAACUGCCGCGCGGCUUCCCCCCCAUCCCGAUGCCCCCGGACCGCUGGUCCCGUGGGACGAAACGGAAACGGAAUCGGGGCCCUUGAUCAUGAGUUACGGCCCCUUCGUUGCGGCCCCCGAGGCCGUGCGCUAUAGCCCCCCGGGCGCCCCCGCCGCCGACCGCACCCGCCCGAACUCGUCCACCUCACCCGCCGUGUGCCGAUCCCGCCCCGCUGUCCCCCCCGGGGCAUGAACCGCCCCCCGUGGGGCCGAAACCGGCAAAACGGGCCAAGCGGCCCCGAUCUUACCCAUUUUUCGGCGAUCAAACCGCCGCACGGCUACCCCCCCAUCCCGAUGCCCCCGGACCGCUGGUCCCGUGGGACCAAACGGAAACGGAAUCGGAGGCCCGGAUCAUGAGUUACGGCCGAAACCGGCAAAGCCUACUAAGCGGCCCCCGAUCUUGCCCAUUUUUCGCCCUUCAAACUGCCGCGCGGCUACCCCCCCAUCCCGAUGCCCCCGGACCGCUGGUCCCGUGGGACGAAACGGAGACGGAAUCGGGGCCCCCGAUCAUGAGUUACGGCCCCUUCGUUGCGGCCCCCGAGGCCGUGCGCUAUAGCCCCCCGGGCGCCCCCGCCGCCGACCGCACCCGCCCGAACCCGACCACCUCACCCGCCGUGUGCCGAUCCCGCCCCGCUGUCCCCCCCGGGGCAUGAACCGCCCCCCGGGGGGCCGAAACCGGCAAAACGGGCCAAACGGCCCCGAUCUUACCCAUUUUUCGGCGAUCAAACCGCCGCACGGCUACCCCCCCAUCCCGAUGCCCCCGGACCGCUGGUCCCGUGGGACCAAACGGAAACGGAAUCGGAGGCCCGGAUCAUGAGUUACGGCCGAAACCGGCAAAGCAUAUUAAGCGGCCCCCGAUCUUGCCCAUUUUUCGCCCUUCAAACUGCCGCGCGGCUACCCCCCCAUCCCGAUGCCCCCGGACCGCUGGUCCCGUGGGACGAAACGGAAACGGAAUCGGGGCCCCCGAUCAUGAGUUACGGCCCCUUCGUUGCGGCCCCCGAGGUCGUGCGCUAUAGCCUCCCGGGCGCCCCCGCCGCCGACCGCACCCGCCCGAACCCGACCACCUCACCCGCCGUGUGCCGAUCCCGCCCCGCUGUCCCCCCCGGGGCAUGAACCGCCCCCCGGGGGGCCGAAACCGGCAAAACGGGCCAAACGGCCCCGAUCUUACCCAUUUUUCGGCGAUCAAACCGCCGCACGGCUACCCCCCCAUCCCGAUGCCCCCGGACCGCUGGUCCCGUGGGACAAAACGGAAACGGAAUCGGAGGCCCGGAUCAUGAGUUACGGCCGAAACCGGCAAAGCCUACUAAGCGGCCCCCGAUCUUGCCCAUUUUUCGCCCUUCAAACUGCCGCGCGGCUACCCCCCCAUCCCGAUGCCCCCGGACCGCUGGUCCCGUGGGACGAAACGGAAACGGAAUCGGGGCCCCCGAUCAUGAGUUACGGCCCCUUCGUUGCGGCCCCCGAGGCCGUGCGCUAUAGCCCCCCGGGCGCCCCCGCCGCCGACCGCACCCGCCCAAACCCGACCACCUCACCCGCCGUGUGCCGAUCCCGCCCCGCUUUCCCCCCCGGGGCAUGAACCGCCCCCCGGGGGGCCGAAACCGGCAAAACGGUGCCAAACCUGCCCCGAUCUUACCCAUUUUUCGGCGAUCAAACCGCCGCACGGCUACCCCCCCAUCCCGAUGCCCCCGGACCGCUGGUCCCGUGGGACCAAACGGAAACGGAAUCGGAGGCCCGGAUCAUGAGUUACGGCCGAAACCGGCAAAGCCUACUAAGCGGCCCCCGAUCUUGCCCAUUUUUCGCCCUUCAAACUGCCGCGCGGCUACCCCCCCCAUCCCGAUGCCCCCGGACCGCUGGUCCCGUGGGACGAAACGGAAACGGAAUCGGGGCCCCCGAUCAUGAGUUACGGCCCCUUCGUUGCGGCCCCCGAGGCCAUGCGCUAUAGCCCCCCGGGCGCCCCCGCCGCCGACCGCACCCGCCCGAACCCGACCACCUCACCCGCCGUGUGCCGAUCCCGCCCCGCUGUCCCCCCCGGGGCAUGAACCGCCCCCCGGGGGGCCGAAACCGGCAAAACGGGCCAAACGGCCCCGAUCUUACCCAUGUUUCGGCGAUCAAACCGCCGCACGGCUACCCCCCCAUCCCGAUGCCCCCGGACCGCUGGUCCCGUGGGACCAAACGGAAACGGAAUCGGAGGCCCGGAUCAUGAGUUACGGCCGAAACCGGCAAAGCCUACUAAGCGGCCCCCGAUCUUGCCCAUUUUUCGCCGUUCAAACUGCCG